UACAGCAAGCGGGCUCCUGUUGUUACUUCCGGCCGAAAAUGUCGUAACUUCCAAUUCGAUCGGAAGGGAAGUCAUGGACGGAGUGAAGCCGGACAAGGGUGGAGAGGCACGCGAGAAAGGGAGAAAGCGACUUCACAGCCCGCGAUAUCCUGUUGUUUCAUCCGAUCAAAAUGUCAGAACUUCUGAUUCGACCAGGGAGGGACGGCGUCGGAGGGGACGAAGAAGCCGGAGAAGCGCCCUAACUGGAGAAAGUUGCCUUCACUGCGAGCGGCUUCCGGCGUUGCUUUCGCACGAAAUGUCGUAACUUAUGAUCAAGCUCGAAGGGAACGUCGUCGAAGGAGCGGUCGAACAGCACAAAGGAGCACCCGAUAGGGAGAAAGUUGCUUCUACAGUCAGCGAGCUCCCGUCUGUUGCUUCCGAUUCGACCCAAAGGGAGCUUUGUCGAAGGAGCUUCGUCAAACAGCCGCGAAAGAGUCAAAGAAGCGCGUGAGGGAGAGAGAGAGAGAGAGAGAGUGGGAUCGCGAAAGAGACCGAAGGCCUCGUCUCUUCGGUCAUUUAAUGACGCGAGCGGGUGAGAUUGUGGGGAGAGAGGCGAAGACGUGCGAAGAACUGACGUUCAAACGUGCGCGGGAUGGCGACGACAGGACUUGUAAUCAAUAUAUUGGAAUGAAAAGGCAUUGGCGCGCAGUAGUGAGCAGAAGAUGUCAAAAUUUUUAAAUUCUAUCAUAGAAGGAUUUAUGGAUAUUACUAUUGAGGAAUUGCUUAGUAGAAAGAUGACUGAUCUGACAAAAGAAAUAUAUGCAUGCCUACAUGCAAUGCAAGUUGAGAUGCAAUGAUAGAUGCAAGCUAAAAUACAGAGCUUCAUGGAGCAACAACAUCAUCACCAACAAGAGUGAGUGGCUGAGGAGAGGAAAAUGAUAUAGAGGAUUUGUUUUAUAUUUUUUUUGUUUUGCUUAAUAUAAAUUUGGAGUGAUAAAACCAAUUGAAUAAUCAAAGUUGUAAUUUUUAGAUAAUUUAAUUACAUUUAAAAUUA
Molecule: long non-coding RNA, 1033 nt
Organism: Dendrobium catenatum
Lineage: Eukaryota; Viridiplantae; Streptophyta; Magnoliopsida; Asparagales; Orchidaceae
Exons: 2
Source: RefSeq, a predicted model, not a curated record